Molecule: long non-coding RNA, 484 nt
Organism: Lycium ferocissimum
Lineage: Eukaryota; Viridiplantae; Streptophyta; Magnoliopsida; Solanales; Solanaceae
Exons: 2
Source: RefSeq, a predicted model, not a curated record
UGAGUGAAAACCAUCGAAAAAGAAGAAAGAAUUCCACCUUUGUUAAUAUAUUAGGGGUUUACAUUGCAUAUGUUGCAAGUCGCUUUUCUGGGAGCUAAUGGCUAUGGCUAUAGCUUCAAGAAUGCUUACAAUUAAAUAUGUUAAAGAAGUCAAAAGAUUAAAAGAAGAAAUGAGCAUAAUCAAAGGCCAUACAUCAUGAAAAAGAUGCGUACUUUGACCAAGGAUUGCAGUAAGGUGGAUUUUUUUCCCCUCUGAAACGAUAAAUUCACCCAUUAUAUCCAGCUAAUAGCUUAAUGUUAGAAAUUACCAGAAUUACCACCAUUAGAUUAGAAAAAAGUUCGCGGCUUCUAAAACAACAAAUAGUAGUGGAUUGCAACAUCUACUCCCACGAUGCUAAUUUUGGUACCCACGGAAUGCACGGCAUUAUCAAAAUAUAUAUUAAUUAAGUCAACUUAUGUUUUCGCUUUUUACAAGGAAGUUUCUA